CGGGUGUUAGCUCAGUUUGGUAGAGCGCUACCUUGGGGUGGUAGAGGUCGCCAGUUCAAAUCCGGUACACCCGACCA
This 77-nucleotide transfer RNA is filed under the name Paenibacillus darwinianus. Its description in RNAcentral is "tRNA-Pro". It matches the Rfam family "tRNA". From Rfam's summary of the family: Transfer RNA (tRNA) molecules are approximately 80 nucleotides in length. Their secondary structure includes four short double-helical elements and three loops (D, anti-codon, and T loops). The record is from RNAcentral. Lineage: Bacteria; Bacillati; Bacillota; Bacilli; Caryophanales; Paenibacillaceae.